Pantherophis guttatus is the source of this 835-nucleotide long non-coding RNA. RefSeq lists it as uncharacterized. Lineage: Eukaryota; Metazoa; Chordata; Lepidosauria; Squamata; Colubridae. The record is from RefSeq and is a predicted model, not a curated record.
AAAGAGUUCUAUAUCUAUUACUAUCUCCUGGCCAAAUGUAUGAAAAAGGCAGGUCCAAAAUGCCUUAAAUAUGAAAUAGAACAUGAUGUAAUAAAUAUAUGUAUAUUGGUGAAUAUGCCUGCUUUGAAGUAUAGGAAUUGUGUACUGGUGCUGACUCUACAGUAAAUACAGUAGAAAAUGGUCACUUUUCACCUAAUAAAGCACUGUACUGUGCAGAUGACCAUGCCCUUUUCUGCACAGCUGUGAGGUCUUUCCAGCACAUUGUUGCUAUUGGAUGCAUGCCCAAAUGUGAUUCAGCUGCCAUGCAGUGAAUUGCUACAAUUCUACCACCAGCACAAAAUCUGGAAUACACAUACAAUGUAACUUUGCUGGGAUAUUUACUUGACAGUCUGUUGAAGUCUACUUGGCACCAUUUUCUAUUCUAGAGGUUCCACAUGCAGCUUAUGGCCAAGUUGAUUGUAGCCAAGGUUGAUGUUUCAGCCUAUUUUGGCAGUUACAAACAUGCUCACAAAUAAAAUGAAAGAAAAAAGAAAGAACGAGCGGAGGUGGUGGAGUGAAGGUAUACUGAAAUUCAUCUUUCUCUAUAGUCUCAGCAGCAUUUUGGAAGCUGCUGAUUCUGGGUGUCUUACAGUUAAAAAGCAAGAACCAUAACCCCACCCCAAAAAAGGGAGGGAACCGCUGCAUAAAGUGUCUGAAGAUAAACCCAUUCAACAAGGGCUUUAUCUUCUACCUGCCCUAAGAACUAUUUCAAUGAAAUCAAGACCUACAGUGUAUUAUGCACACCAAGAAAAAUGGUUUAACUCAAUAACAUCAUUAAUAAAGUUUGCCUGUACCA